UCCUGGUUAACCCAGGCAGUCUCAUUAGAGUUCCCACCCUAAGUGUUGGCAACUAAUGAUAAGGGUUGCGCUCGUUGCUGGACUUAACCAAACACCUCACGGCACGAGCUGACGACAGCCAUGCAGCACCUGUGCAGAUGUCCCGAAGGAAGAUAAUAUUUCUACUACUGUCAUCUGCAUGUCAAGCCUGGGUAAGGUUCUUCGCGUUGCAUCGAAUUAAACCACAUGCUCCACUGCUUGUGCGGGUCCCCGUCAAUUCUUUUGAGUUUCACCCUUGCGAGCGUACUCCUCAGGCGGUAUACUUAUCGCGUUAGCUUCGGCACAACUAGGGUUGAUUCCAGUUACACCAAGUAUACAUCGUUUAGGGCAAGGACUAC
Molecule: unclassified non-coding RNA, 377 nt
Filed under: uncultured Parachlamydiaceae bacterium
Lineage: Bacteria; Pseudomonadati; Chlamydiota; Chlamydiia; Parachlamydiales; Parachlamydiaceae
Description: contains 16S-23S intergenic spacer region
Source: RNAcentral